Molecule: RNA transcript, 4194 nt
Organism: Melozone crissalis (California towhee)
Lineage: Eukaryota; Metazoa; Chordata; Aves; Passeriformes; Passerellidae
Gene: DIPK1A
Gene name: divergent protein kinase domain 1A
Exons: 6
Source: RefSeq, a predicted model, not a curated record
CCCGCUGCGGGGAUGUGUGAUUGCCAUGGCGAGGCGGCUCUUCCCGGGGGCCUGGCUGAGGAAGCCCCAUUCCGCGCAGGUCCGUCUGUCGUACGUGCGGAUCAAGUAUCUCUUCAUCUCCUGGCUGGUGGUGUUUGUUGGCAGCUGGAUUAUGUAUGUUCAGUACUCCACCUACACAGAACUCUGCAGAGGCCAUGACUGCAGGAAAAUAAUAUGUGACAAAUACAAGACUGGUGUUAUUGAUGGAUCAGCAUGUAGUAGUCUUUGUGCUAAAGAAACAUUGUAUUUUGGAAAAUGUUUGUCAACAAAGCCCAAUAACCAGAUCUAUUUAGGAAUCUGGGGAAAUCUGCAAAGUGUUAUAAAAUGCCAGAUGGAGGAAGCUGCUCAACUUGAUUUUGGUACUGACCCAGAACCAAGGAAGGAAAUAGUCCUAUUUGAUAAACCAACAAGAGGAACCACUGUUGAGAAAUUCAAAGAAAUGGUAUAUGGUCUUUUUAAAGCAAAACUGGGUGAACAAGGGAAUCUUUCAGAACUGGUUAAUCUCAUCCUGUCUUUUGCUGAUGGAAACAAAGAUGGAAGAGUCUCUUUGCCAGAGGCAAAAUCUGCAUGGGCACUCCUGCAGCUGGAAGAGUUUCUGUUAAUGGUCAUCUUGCAGGAUAAAGAACAUACUCCCAAGCUGAUGGGUUUUUGUGGGGAUCUCUAUGUGACCGAAAGAGUUGAAUAUACCUCUCUCUAUGGAAUCAGCCUUCCGUGGAUCAUAGAACUUCUCAUUCCCUCUGGCUUCAGAAGAAGCAUGGACCAGUGGUUCACUCCAUCAUGGCCAAGAAAGGCAAAAAUAGCUAUAGGGCUUUUAGAAUUUGUAGAAGAUAUUUUCCACGGACCUUACGGAAACUUUCUUAUGUGUGAUACAAGUGCCAAAAACUUGGGAUAUAAUGAUAAAUAUGAUUUGAAAAUGAUGGACAUGAGAAAAAUAGUGCCAGAAAUUAAUUUGAAGGAAAUAAUUAAAGAUCGUCAGUGCGACUCAGAUUUGGACUGCGUUUAUGGUACAGACUGUAGAACAUUAUGUGACCAAAGCAAAAUGAGAUGUACCACUGAAGUAAUUCAGCCAAACUUAGCAAAAGCUUGUCAGCUCCUUAAAGACUAUCUGCUUCGUGGUGCUCCUUCUGAUAUCCAUGAAGAACUAGAGAAACAACUGUACUUGUGCAUUGCCCUUAAAGUCACAGCAAAUCAGAUGGAAAUGGAGCAUUCUUUAAUACUCAAUAACUUAAAAACUUUACUGUGGAAGAAAAUUUCUCAUACAAAUGAUUCGUAGCUUCUUCACCAGCAGAAGAGAAUAUUGAUGCCUGCCACUAGAGGUGGCCCAAGACAUUUGAUAAAAACAAUCUGCACCUUUUUAAAAAGAUAUUUCUUUACUCAGAUUUUAUUAAUGGUUCUUUCAGUCCUGCCCUUCAGUCAGUAACUCAGGACAGGGCUUGUCUAAGAAUGAACACGCCACUGAAUGACCCGGCACAGGCCAGAAGGCUGCCUGCUGUUCAGUGCUGUGUUACAGAAACAAGAACUCUGCAUGCUUGACUGUUCUGUGCACUUUGUCAGAUCUUGAACAGGAUGAAAGUGUUCACUGUGCCACCACAUCAGCUGAGGCAACAUCUUCCAUUUCUGUGAAAAACAUUGCCCACUUGUGAAAUACCUGCAGAGGAUUUCUUUCCUAAGUAGUUUUAUGAAGAAUCACCACUACUGCAAGUAAUGUGUCCAAGUCCAAGCUGCUGUUAUGAAAAACUGAACUGUGAGAUUGAAGUUUACUAAUACCUUGGCAUGGCAGAAUUUGCACAUUAAAUAAUUUUUAACUAUGGAAAAUUAGAAUUUUAUUCUAGAAUGGAUAGGUUGUAAUGAGACAAAUCAGAUUCUGUUUACACAUUGUUACCUCAUGCUUACAUCUUGAAUGUUUAAGUAAUUCAACUUUUUUAAUUAAGUCAUUGUAUGGUGAGCCCUGUGGGAGCCAACAGUUUUAGAGUACUAUUUCUUAAAGUCAUUUAUAUGGUUUAGCAGCAAUACCAGCCUCUGUUUGAAAACUUCAGUGGAAACCUCUAAUCCAAAUUAAGCUGUAGCAAACAGUGAAAAGCAAGGACUUUGUGGACUAAGCUAUAGUAUGAAAACUGAAUUUUUAAAAAUACUGAAUAGCAGACAUGUCCAACUAGUUAAAAAAGAAAGUUUGCAUAGUGCAGGAAUCUGCUGUAUGACAUGAGAAACAAUCAAUAGUUGUGGAUAGUCUUGCCUCUUAAUGCUCCCUCCACAUUUAGCUACAGACCUGUACUUCAGUCUUAACUACUGCAGGAAAUAUGUAAGCAAGAGCUAGACCUGAAUUUUAGGACAGAAGCUGGAUUGUUCAGGAUUGUGCAAUAUUGCUCAAAUGGGAGCCUAUGAGCUAUUUUCCAGCUCGCUCCUAGCUGUUACUAAGUGAGCUGCAGUGUGAUACUAUUCCUUUUUUCUAGUAGCAUCUAUGAGUCACUGUUAAGGCUCAAGUCAUGAGUAAAUAAACAUCACCUGAUCCUGGCACGCCACAAAGCAUGACCACUCUACCACCUUAAAUCUUCACCCUUGUAUUUUUCAGAUUUACAUCUGUAUUCAUAAUUAUGCAGAAUUGGAUGUCCAUAAUACACCUGAAUAUAGGCCAAUACUUACCUAUUGUAUGUUUAAUUUUUAAAUGCUUUAGGUAUAAAGUUGUUCAAUCUUUAUGAUUUUAAUGGCAGACAUCUGUAUACUUCUGAAUCCUGGACCCUUAAUUCAUUUUCAGCAGAGGUAAGAACAAGUUUUAAGUAUCUGAAAGGUUAACUGCUGUAGGGAUCCUGUCUUAAAUGCAUUCCUAGAAUGAUGAUACUGAAAUACAGGACCACAAUAAAGUAAUUUGUCCAUACCAGAUGUAAUAAUAUGCAGCUUGGGUUAAGAUUGUUUUGUGAACAUCAGUCUUUUAAUUUAAGAAAUACUGUGCUCAUGCUAAUUAUUGUCUUGAACUUGCUAACGUGCUCCAACUAUGAACUAAAAAGUAUUCAUAACCAGCAAUGCACUAAAAGUGUAAAGUGGUCAUGUUCUUGUGGAGAAAUCUGACAGUGACUGCUACUUGGGCAGAUAUUUAAAAUACCCAACAUCACUGGGUAUCUUAACUGGAGAAUAUGUUUAAUAGUGCAGUUUGUUGUACACAAUCUUCAUUUUUAUUACUGUUGCAUAAAGUUGAAGCUUUCAUUGGGAAAAAAAAAUACACUUUUGUUUACAAUAAAUCACAGGCCUCUUUUUUUCAAUAGCAGUAUUUACACCAACUACCAGUACCUUACAGCAAAACAUUCCUCCAUCUAGCCUGCUUUACUGGUGUUUAAACUGUGCAAACAGUUUGUCUGAGUCUAGUGUAAACCUACUGUAAGUAAGUGCCUGUGAAACAGGAGGCAAAGGAGCAGAGGACAAAACUGGUGGGGAACGCUUCUCUUCCAGGUGGCUCAGCCUGCAGAGGGAAACACAGACUGGGCUCUGGGAAGGAGCCACCCUUUAGGAUAAGGAGAUGAAAGCUGCUGAGUGGUGAGGUGGAGGGACACAGAGAGGGGAGGCAGGAGAAGACUGAGGAAUUCCACACUGGCAUCAGGGAGGGCAGGGAGUGUGAGGAUAUAAAAGCCAUGGGGUGCUCCUCAGAGGAACCAUCUCCAGUUGUUCCUGCACCAGGAAUAAACUACCUUGUGGGACCAGAUUUUCUGUGCUCUGCUAAGGGAACCCUAAGGGUGAACUGGAAGGGAACAUGGUCUGGCGAGUGUGUGGGGAGAGUCAAGGGGAAAGGCUCUGGUGUCUGAGUCUCAUAAUGUUUCCUUAACAAGGCUUCUGUACUUACUCCUGUAUAUGCAACUUGAAGUGAAUUCUCUUAUCAACUAAAUCACAUGGAGUAUUCAGCUCAAGACAGUACCUGAUUCAGCAGCAGCCAAGGCUUGGAGGUGGCAAGUGCCUGAAAGCCUAAGGUUACCUUUGGGCAGAGGCUUUAGAACCUACUGUGACUGCUCCUGGCCUUUUCCAAAGCUACAUCCAGACUCCCCCCAAACAAGAAGUAUGCUGAAAGAAUUGUGAAAUACAGAAGUAAUUCUGAUGCAGCAGCCUUGGUCUUUGAAGUCUGUCACCUCUCUUCUCUGUGAAAAUUCACACAGGACUUUGAGAGGGGAGAAA